Molecule: unclassified non-coding RNA, 238 nt
Filed under: Ascomycota sp.
Lineage: Eukaryota; Fungi; Ascomycota
Description: partial contains small subunit ribosomal RNA, internal transcribed spacer 1, and 5.8S ribosomal RNA
Rfam family: Eukaryotic small subunit ribosomal RNA (bases 1-47)
Source: RNAcentral
AAAGUCGUAACAAGGUCUCCGUUGGUGAACCAGCGGAGGGAUCAUUACCGAGUUGCAAGACUCCCCACCAUUGUGAACCUACCUCACCGUUGCUUCGGCGGGUGGCCCCCACCGGGGCCGCGCCAGCCCCCCCGGGGCCGGCAACCCGUCAGAGGACCCAAACGCUCAGUUAUCAUAGGCCUCUCUGAGUAGCUUAUACAAUAAGUCAAAACUUUCAACAACGGAUCUCUUGGUUCUG